UUUUUUUUUUUUGCUAUUUCUUUGGGCCGCUCCCGCGGCAUAUGGAGGUUCCCAGGGUAGAGGUCGAAUCGGAGCUGUAGCCACGGGCCUACCCCAGAGCCACAGCAACGCGGGAUCCGAGCCGCGUCUGCAACCUACACCACAGCUCACAGCAACGCCGGAUCCUUAACCCACUGAGCAAGGGCAGGGACCGAACCCGCAACCUCAUGGUUCCUAGUCAGAUUCGUUAACCACUGCGCCACGACGGGAACUCCUCACUCUCUGGUUCUUAAAGGACUCAGGCACCCCAUCAACUGCAACAGACUCAACAGACCCUUUGGUUAUUCCAGCCGAGGCUGCAGCCAGGCCUUUGACCGAGACAAAUACCCCAGGAGGGACGCGCCAAGUGACUCGCCAAGGGAGGGGAGUAAACCGGCAGGAGCAGGUCCUCGAUUGUCCACCAAGGACCGAAUUCAUCUGUGGUCAGAGCAUCAUCCGGGCCCAGCAGGGCGAUGCCUCGGAAGAUGCCUCCACGACCCACAGCCGCGAGCUCCACCCCAACCCCAGGCCACCGGGCUCGCCAAGGCCUUGGCCCAAGCGGAAUGGAGAGUGAGGGCAUGUGGCGAAGGCGAGUCCAUCCGCGGGAAAUCGAAGAGGAAGAGGAAACUUGCCAUGCUGAGAGCAAAUUCACCCCCUCACAACACUCACUGACUCACGUACCCACCAAGAUGGCAUGUUCUUUGAAGCACGCUGUCACCCUGAAAGUGACUCUCUGGGGUCACAUGCCGAUGCCAGAAGCAACUCUCCUGGGCUUAGAAGAACGUGAAAAGCUCUCAUGGGCCACAUAGCUUUGGCGUGCCUCCGACAGUACCAGAAACAUCUUUUGAUAUCCUGAGCUAUUACGCUAUCCCCUCCUUUGGAAAAAAUAGGACAAUCCAAACCCCUUGCAGGAGAUGGUAUGUCCCUAGUGGAGGAGGGACAAUCAUAAAACAUGAGAAGGGGGAGGGGCCAGAAGGAAGUGUCUAGAAUGAUGCACAGUCUUAACUACUUUUCUCCACCUAACUCACUUCGUCACUCACAAAUACACUUGGUGGCAGCUGCUGAAGUCAAAGGCGGAACUUGGGGAUGGGGAUGGGGACUCGAGCUGGCCCACGUGCCUGUCCAGCCGUGACAUGAUGUGGGUCACCUGGGUGCGGGGCCCAGGUAUCGGAGCUGACCAGGUAUGGAAGGAGCCCUGUCGAGGAGGCUUUGGGGCUGGAGGGAUGGACCUGGGGCUCCAGCUAGAGAUUUAAUAGCAGUCCCUCUGCAGCCCAGGAUGUAGUCAGGAUCAGGAACACUGGUUUCACAGCCAGAAGUCUGAUCAUCUCUUUCUCCCUUUUUCAUUGAAAAAGAAAAUAUCUAAGAUACUGGAGAAUACAGUAAAAUCCUUAACUCCAUUUCCUCCUCCCACCCCUGCGCGCUCUGUCUCUCUCUCUCUCGCUCUUUUUCUUUCCUGGCGGCAAGGCUGGAUAAGCUUAUCAAGUGCAGGCAAACUACAUCGUAGCUCUGAUCCUUUCGAGAAAUCCAUUUGGCGCCUUUAACGUUUCAUUUGGCAGAUUGAAUUUCAGACAUGUAUUUAUGGGGCUGGGUUUGCCCUUAACAGAGUAUUGCAUAAAUCCCAUUACAGUAUCCACUUUAGCGUGUUUGGGGUUUUCUAAGCCAGGGCUUUAUUUAAGUGGACAGCCCCGGAAUGACCUGCUCUGGCUCAGAAACUCUCUCCUCUUCCUCCUUGCAGAUUAUCUCCAUCAUCAUCAAUGUCAAGUGAAGUUUUAGGAAAAAUCCUUUCAGCACAGCCGAGAACAAGCCCUGUUCCAGCCUUGGCGACCGGGCGUCAUCACCCUCUGGUGAAUUAGGGGGUUCCCUUCCAAGAACCACCCCACCCCACCCCACCCCACAUCCCUCUUUCUUCUGGCCAUAGCCAGGGAAGGGGUGGAAACGAUACGAAGCUGAUUUGGUAUUUCUUCAAUUUCCUACAAGAAAGGCACAUUACUUGUAAUUUCUGGAACAAAAGAAUCACAAAGAAAAGUGAGCUAGAGGGAAAAAAUGGGGAAAGAAGAGAUCUGGGUUAGGAAGCCUGAGCGAGCCGGCUCCUCUCUUUAACCCUGAGGGAGAAAAUGGAAUGAGCAGCCCCCACGACGUGCCCGCACUCGUAACUAAGAGGGAUGCUGAGACGGUGCCCAGUGCGUGGGUACCCAGGCUGCCAGACCUUGCAUCCGAUGCACAUACGCUGGUUUCCUUUCCUAGCCGGCCCUCCGGGGGGCUGGACAGGCCAUUUACCUUACAGGUGGCCAGGCAGGGACGCCGCUAAGAGGCCCCUGGAGUAGGCAGCUCAGGGGUCCAGCGUGGCAUGUGACACACGGGGGUCCACCAGGCUGAAGCAUUACUGGGUGAGGGGCCCUUUCCAUCCUCCCAGGACCCAUGCUGGAAGCACAGGCAGAGCUGUCCGAUCACACUGAUUUUCACAUCAGUUGGCUCAAGAGCAGAAAGGCGAGGGAGGUGGUUGGUGAUGGGACCACCUCAGAAAGCCAGGAGAAGCUAAAGGAGCACCACCUGACCCUCUGGGACCCUCUCUUCCCCAGGCAGCACCCCCCCAUCCACGGAGCCUGGCAGCCCAGUCCCUUGUCACUUCAUUCUAUCACACAAGCAAGCUUUACGAAAAUGCAACGGCAGCUGCAGUAAAUGAAGAAAUACCCAUGACGAGGGGCCCAGGGGCUAUUUCAGGCUGCCUCUGUCGGAUGGCAGCUGCGCCUUUGGUUACAUCUAAGUUUGGCCUCAGAGCCUGUGCAGGUAAACUGUUCCUGAUGAGGAAAAAGAAAAUGUCGGGAACUGUCAUGGACCCAUUCCAAAAAAUAUUUGCCAAGUUCCUGCCUUACACCAGGCUCUAGGCGAGGGGCUGACGUCCAGGCAGGAGCCGCACAGAGCACGCCCGCCCGCCAGAGAUGAUGGUCUGGGGAGGGACACGCAGACAGCAGAUGUGGGGCCAGGGGAGAGAGUUGGUGGCCAACAACCAAUGGCACAGCCGAGACAGCAUGGCUUCUCCAGAUAAGACCAACAGGUGGCCAGAGGGAAUCCAGAGUACCAAACACCCAGCACCCUCUCUCCAGGGCUUCAUCUUCUCAAAUCUCUCAUCUGCUUCUUUUUCUUCCUGUCUCACUUGCCUGUGAGUGGCUGGGGACAGAAGCUGGUCCCUGCUGGCAACCACAAUGCCCUUUGGCCUUUCAGAAAGUUCACCGUGGCUCUGACAUUGGUAUCACCAGCCUAGAGACAUGGCAGCUGGCACAUACUAGGGGCUCAGCCAAGGCCUGCUCAACUGCAUUUGAUCACCUUAUUUAAAGCUACUGCAAUCACUCCCAGCUUUUAAGCUAUGGGCUGGGAACAAGGUCAUUCUAUAAAAAUGGAAAGCAGAAAGGUACCCUGAGGAAUUUGUUGGAGUUAGAGGUAAGAAUCCAGAAAGGCAUCUAUUCAAAUGACAACAGAACUAAGGCAUGGCCUCAAUAUACUAUGAUUAAAUGAGAUGUGCUGAAGAAUUACGUAACAGCUCAGAAGCACAAUUUAAGUCUCCACUGGCGCUUGCCUCUUUGUAAAAUUAGCAUUUCUGUUAAGCUCAUAAUAUAGGAGCAUGGGGUUUUAUAUAACUGCUCAGGUCACACGGGGAAAUGAAGACAUACUCCCUUCUCUUUCUAACGCUUGUGCUUCCCAGAGAGAACGGUCUAGAAGGCCACGUGAGACGGCUGAUCAGAAUAACAACAAUAACGAUAACUGGCUCUUUUGUGUACAUCCUGGUUGCCAGACCCAGGCUCAACGAUCCCACUGCACUAUCUCAUUUAAUCCGCAUAAGACCCUUCUCUGACAGGCAAGUAUUACAGGUCCCAUUUUACAGAGAGGCAAACCCAGUGAAGCCAGGCCCUGAAUGCAGGUCAUGGGACUACCGGUCAUGUGACUCAGUCCCUGGGUCACAUUUACAACACUGUGCCACAAACUACACCAAAGAUGAUGUCAAGGAU
This 4022-nucleotide long non-coding RNA is filed under the name Sus scrofa (pig). RNAcentral's name for it is "lncRNA (ENSSSCG00040054043.1)". The record is from RNAcentral. Lineage: Eukaryota; Metazoa; Chordata; Mammalia; Artiodactyla; Suidae.